CUGAAAGUCUCCGAUCAAUACGGAUAGCCAACCGCACAAAUGCAUCAAAUUCAACAGGAAGAUCAACACGAGCUAGCUCAUCUUUUAUAGCUUCUGAGAGACCUCUUCUGAAGUGGGUUCCAAGUAGUAUCAGUAACCCACUGUCUGAAUUCAGCAGCAUAUUCAGCCACAGAGCGCCUCCCUUGAUGUAAAUGAAGGAGAGUGGCUUCUGCUGUAGCACAGCGAUUGGGAUCAUCAAAAACUAGGCACAUGGCCUCAAGAAAGUCUUU
Pelobates cultripes (western spadefoot toad) is the source of this 269-nucleotide non-coding RNA. NCBI's taxonomy places the organism in Eukaryota, Metazoa, Chordata, Amphibia, Anura, Pelobatidae. The record is from the annotation of a GenBank genome assembly.